UGGCCAUAUCAGGUUGGAACACUGGUCCUCAUCCAAUCACUAAAGUUAAGCAACAUCAUGCCUGGUCAGUACUGAGAUGGGUGAAGGCUUGAAAAUAUCAGGUGCUGUAA
This is a non-coding RNA of Acanthosepion pharaonis, 110 nucleotides long. Lineage: Eukaryota; Metazoa; Mollusca; Cephalopoda; Sepiida; Sepiidae. The record is from the annotation of a GenBank genome assembly.